RNAcentral lists this unclassified non-coding RNA (310 nucleotides) under plant metagenome. RNAcentral's name for it is "partial contains 5.8S ribosomal RNA, internal transcribed spacer 2, and large subunit ribosomal RNA". The stretch from base 1 to 105 matches the Rfam family "5.8S ribosomal RNA", at positions 50 to 154 of the family's 154-position model. The record is from RNAcentral.
GAAAUGCGAUAAGUAGUGUGAAUUGCAGAAUUCAGUGAAUCAUCGAAUCUUUGAACGCACAUUGCGCCCCUCGGUAUUCCGUGGGGCAUGCCUGUUCGAGCGUCAUCUACACCCUCAAGCUCUGCUUGGUGUUGGGCGUCUGUCCCGCCUCCUUCGCGCGCGGACUCGCCCAAAAUCCAUUGGCGGCGGCCCUUGCCUCCCUCUCGCGCAGCACAUUGCGCUUCUCGAGGCGCGGCGGACCGCGUCCAGCAAGCAACCGUCACACCGUCUUUGACCUCGGAUCAGGUAGGGAUACCCGCUGAACUUAAGC